RNAcentral lists this unclassified non-coding RNA (507 nucleotides) under uncultured Glomeromycotina. Its description in RNAcentral is "SSU rRNA". It matches the Rfam family "Eukaryotic small subunit ribosomal RNA", at positions 591 to 1092 of the family's 1831-position model. Lineage: Eukaryota; Fungi; Glomeromycota. The record is from RNAcentral.
CCAAUAGCGUAUAUUAAAGUUGUUGCAGUUAAAAAGCUCGUAGUUGAAUUUCGGGAUUGGCGCAUCGGUCGUGCCUCACGGGGUAUGAACUGGUGCAGUCAAUUUCUCACCUUCUGGAGAACCGCGAUGUCCUUAAUUGGAUGCCGCGGGGAACCAGGACCUUUACUUUGAAAAAAUUAGAGUGUUUAAAGCAGGCAUUUUUGCUUGAAUACAUUAGCAUGGAAUAAUAAAAUAGGACGGCAUGGUUCUAUUUUGUUGGUUUCUAGGACCACCGUAAUGAUUAAUAGGGAUAGUUGGGGGCAUUAGUAUUCAAUUGUCAGAGGUGAAAUUCUUGGAUUUAUUGAAGACUAACUACUGCGAAAGCAUUUGCCAAGGAUGUUUUCAUUAAUCAAGAACGAAAGUUAGGGGAUCGAAGACGAUCAGAUACCGUCGUAGUCUUAACCAUAAACUAUGCCGACUAGGAAUCAGACGAUGUUAAUUUUUUAAUGACUCGUUUGGCACCUUAUG